RNAcentral lists this ribosomal RNA (453 nucleotides) under uncultured bacterium. Its description in RNAcentral is "bacterial SSU rRNA". It matches the Rfam family "Bacterial small subunit ribosomal RNA", at positions 54 to 520 of the family's 1533-position model. The record is from RNAcentral.
CAUGCAAGUCGAACGAGAGAUGAGGAGCUUGCUCUUCAAAUCGAGUGGCGAACGGGUGAGUAACGCGUGAGGAACCUGCCUCAAAGAGGGGGACAACAGUUGGAAACGACUGCUAAUACCGCAUAAGCCCACAGCUCGGCAUCGAGCAGAGGGAAAAGGAGUAAUCCGCUUUGAGAUGGCCUCGCGUCCGAUUAGCUAGUUGGUGAGGUAAUGGCCCACCAAGGCGACGAUCGGUAGCCGGACUGAGAGGUUGAACGGCCACAUUGGGACUGAGACACGGCCCAGACUCCUAUGGGAGGCAGCAGUGGGGAAUAUUGCACAAUGGGGGAAACCCUGAUGCAGCGACGCCGCGUGGAGGAAGAAGGUCUUCGGAUUGUAAACUCCUGUUGUUGAGGAAGAUAAUGACGGUACUCAACAAGGAAGUGACGGCUAACUACGUGCCAGCAGCCGCGG